GUAAGCAUCACAAUAGUUAAUAUCCUGUAUGUGGCCUUAUACUGAUAAUAACGUGUAGUAUGCACCGGGCUUUAUACUUUUUGGUUGUUGUGUUUAUGGUCAUUUUAGUUUUAUAUAGAGAACUGUCAGAUUUUGGCGGAAUGCCGUCGACCGAUAUUAUGUACGAUUUGUUCUUAGUUAAUACGGUGUAUUGAUGUAAUAAAAGAAAUAUUAACUGGAUGCAGUGGUUUGUAUGAUAAACCCCAUUUACUGAGCUUUAAAACAAUGGACUUCUACAUCUCAGAAAGCGGGAUUAUGAAUUCAAAUGCCCACAUAGAUAUUGGAUGCACUUAAUUUAUUUUCACUUGUAUAGAGGUGCAUAAAAAUGUAAGUUGCUUGGUCUUUUAAAUGUUUGUUUCAUAGUCGAAACAGUUGAGUUGAUAGUAUAUAAAUGAUACAAGAUUUCAUUAGCUUGUUUGUUUUGCUCGCUAAAGAGAACGAUUGACAGUUCGUUUCGUUUGCAUAAAUCAAAAGUUUUGUUUUAAAUUUUCAAUGUACUGUACAUAGUUACAUACAUUUGCUAUGGUAUUGACCUAUUUAUUAACCCGUGUUCUUGUCAUUGUUUGUUUUCGGUUUUGUGAGAUGAGACGGAAUACAAUGAGAGUAGAUCUCGAAAAUGCAAGCGCAAGCAAUCAACCAUCAACUUUCUGGUGAGACAAGAGCCAUACUUAAGAGCCUGUGACAUGGUUAUGAAGGAAGGCAACGCGUUGAUGAUAAGCGAGGGUCUCGCAGCAAGAGCUGACUAAAGCAAAGAAGGUUAAGCUAUUACAUGGUGAUGUCAGCAGUGGGGCAGGGUGCAAGCUGCCGAUGGCCAGGGCCGCUGAGUGAGAAACCGGCGUACUAUACACGCCGUGUCCAGGAUAUAGCAAUCUGCAUCUGACCAGCGAGAGUCUCUGAGUGUUGGGUUGGUUGGGUUGGUCAGUUUGGCAGACUGUCUAGUACAGGCCGUAAUGGCAGACUGUUUAUUAUGUUAGUUUAUACUUUGGCUGACUAUCUAGAGCAGGCCCUGAUGGCAGACUGUCUAGAGGCCAUAAGUAGGUAUAUAUGCUGUUAAGGUACUUGUAAUAUGAGAUACUUGUAAUUUGUUUGAAUUUAUAUUUGCGGUUAGUUGUAUUUUAUAAUUGUUGAUGUGUUUUUUUUAAUUGUAUGCAAAUUCCAUGUUGACGUGUAAAAGUGCCCUUGUGGCCUAUUUGCUGAAUAAAUGUUGAAAUUGAAGAAGUUGGCCUUGUUGCCUGAUUCAUUAUAUUCGUUUAUACUUUGACAAACUGCCCAGAGUAGGCCUUGAAGGCAGACUGUCUAGAACAAGCUAUGAUAGCAGCCUGUCUUCUAGAGCAGGCCGCGAUGACAGACUGUCUAGACUAAUCUAGUCUGAAGCAGGCCAUAACAAAUUAAAUCAGUACAAUGAUUAGGUGUGAGGUUUGGCAGACUGUCUAGAACAGGCUAUGAUAGCAGCCUGUCUUCUAGAGCAGGCCGUGAUGGCAGACUGUCUAGACGAAUCUAGUCUAGAGCAGGCCAUAACAAAUUAAAUCAUUACAAUGAUUAGGUGUGAGGUUUGGCAGACUGUCUAGAACAGGCUAUGAUAGCAGCCUGUCUUCUAGAGCAGGCCGUUGUGGCAGACUGUCUAGACUAAUCUAGUCUAGAGCAGGCCCUAACAAAUUAAAUCAUUAAAAUGAUUAGGUGUGAGUUUUGGCAGACUGUCUAGAACAGGCUUUGAUAGCAGCUUGUCUUUUAGAGCAGGCCGUGAUGGCAGACUGUCUAGACCAGUCAAGUCUAGAGCAGGCUAUAACAAUUUAUACUUUGGAAUGAUGUCUAGAGCAGGCCUUGAAGGCAGACUGUGAUUGUUUAUGAUGUGUUAUAUUUUGUUAAAAUUCCUAGAGCAGGCCUUGAGGGCAGACUGUGAUUUUUGAUGUUGAUUUAUACUUUGCCAAACUGUUUAGAGCAGGCCUUGAGGGCAGACUGUGAUUGUUUGUGGUUAUGUAUUAUAUUUUGCCAAACUGUUUAGAGCAGGCCUUAAGGGCAGACUGUGAUUGCUUCUGAUCAUGUUAUAUACUUUUUCAAACUGUUUAGAGCAGGCCUUGAGGCAGACUGUGAUUGUUUAUGAUCAUGUAUUUAUACUUUGCCAGACUGUUUAGAGCAGGCCUUGAGUGCAGACUGUGAUUGUUUAUGAUCAUGUAUUAUACUUUGUCCAACUGUUUAGAGCAGGCCUUGAGUGCAAACUGUGAUUGUUUAUGAUCAUGUAUUAUACUUUGCCCAACUGUUUAGAGCAGGCCUUGAGUGCAGACUGUGAUUGUUUAUGAUCAUAUAUUAUACUUUGCCAAACUGUUUAGAGCAGGCCUUGAGUGCAGACUGUGAUUGUUUAUGAUCAUGUAGUAUACUUUGUCAAACUAUUUAGAGCAGGCCUUGAGUGCAGACUGUGAUUGUUUACGAUCAUGUAUUAUACUUUGCCAAAUUGUUUAGAUCAGGCCUUGAGGUUGGUUUAUACUUUGGCAGACUGCCUAGAGCAGACCAUGAUUGUAAGUUAGUUCAUAUAUUGAAAGACUAUCUAAAGAAGGCUGUUAAUGCUACCAGGUGUUGGUUGUAUUCAAUGACUGUUUACAUGAUCUCAGAUUCAAGCAUGUUAAGCGUUAAGAUUUAUUUCUCAAUAAGCUUAAAGGUUACUAUUGGCUAUGAUUGAUUCACGUGAGCCCAUACUGUGCAUAAGAAGUGUACUGUGUAGAAGUUUACAAAUACUGUUGUUGUGAAUGUUUAUCUUUGAUAUCGAUAAAGGUGUUACGAUAUAUUGCUGUUGUUAUUAAUGUUUAUAAUUACUUUUAGUGAGAGGGCUCACUUUUAAAAAAAAGGAUGGCCGAAGCUGUAAGCAUCACAAUAGUUAAUAUCCUGUAUGUGGCCUUAUACUGAUAAUAACGUGUAGUAUGCACCGGGCUUUAUACUUUUUGGUUGUUGUGUUUAUGGUCAUUUUAGUUUUAUAUAGAGAACUGUCAGAUUUUGGCGGAAUGCCGUCGACCGAUAUUAUGUACGAUUUGUUCUUAGUUAAUACGGUGUAUUGAUGUAAUAAAAGAAAUAUUAACUGGA
Long non-coding RNA from Cydia pomonella (codling moth), 3111 nucleotides. RefSeq lists it as uncharacterized. The transcript is spliced from 2 exons. The record is from RefSeq and is a predicted model, not a curated record. NCBI's taxonomy places the organism in Eukaryota, Metazoa, Arthropoda, Insecta, Lepidoptera, Tortricidae.